AGGGGCGGGCUGCCGCCGCCCUCUGCAGCUGAGUCAGUGCAGUUCCUCACCUACCUUCUCUGCUCACCGCUGUGUGCUAGCAAUCGGAGGACCCUUGGCACACGGAGCGACAGGGGCCUCCCCCACAGACACCUCAUUUUGGGAAAGAAGGCCUCGAUUCUGUCCUCCUCGUCCUGCAUCUCCAGAGCACCCAUCCACUCCUCAAAGAGGUCGCUUGAAAGUAGCUUCCGGGGGAUACUUCUGAGGAAGUCCUGGGGGAUGAGAGUGGGCUGUUGGCCUAUUGGUACUGUAUGAUGUCCCAUGUCCUUGUUUUCACCCGGUUUUCGUUCCAUCGCAGGGUGCUCUAUGCUUAGCCCAUCAUAGAUUGUGGCCCUUCAUUCCUGCAUUUGAUGAAUCCAGGGAACCCUCUCUCCAACACCCUUGGCCUCUCUGCAACUUUCUAACAUCAGGCAGAGUCAGAGGCACCAUCCCCAGGUGGGUGUGUUCUGAGGGGCCACUGGAUUUUGACGUAUGGAUUCUGCCACGGAACAAUCAAAUUGCCCGUACUUGGCAAAGUUUUGGGAGAGCAGAAUGCAUCACUUUCUGUUGGAAUCUGAGGUCACAGAAACAGAGGUGCUUACUAAAUAAAUAAAUAAAGGGCUUAAUGAAAAAAAUUAAACUCCAAGAUCAGUGUACCUUGCUGUGUGGGGAGAAGAGCCUAUUUCUUGCAUCCUGAGAAUGAGUGUGUCAGGGCCCCUUGGCAGGUUAUUUGGCGCAAGUGUGUUGAACUCACCUUAAAGACCACAGCGAGGAGGUGCACGGGGAGCCUCUCCAGAUCCACCGCAUCCCCAGAGUUGAGCUCCUCCUUCAGCUCCUUACGGGCUUUCUCGUUGGCUGCUCUCCUGAAUAUCCCUUCCGUUGAAGGGCCUUUAAGGCAUAGAAUAGUGAGAAUGUCCUAAAGGAAACAGCAAUAGGAACAGGAAAGGGUUACCCUUCUUCUUUAGUAUACUGAGAUAGUCUUAACAGGAAUAUUGAUGUCAGAUUUUGCUUUCAGUCCAGUUGCUGUCAAUGGCCUUCCUCAACCCUGCUAUUUUUCUAAGAGGAGGCAAAUUGUGAAAGCUCUAAUUUUGCACUUUCUAAAAUCACUUUGGAGCUCUCUCCUUUCAAAUACUUCCAUAUGAACAUUGGAUUUCAGAUCACAAAGUCUAUAUUCUGUUUCCCCCUUUUGACUUUUCAGAAGCUACAAAUCUUCAGCAUUCUCCACUCUGUGAAGUCAGAGGAAUGGCGGGACCAUAGCUCUGAGCUCAUUGGCAAAUACAACUAAUUUCAAUUUCUGGAAUGGAAGCAGUCAGAUAUUCUUCUGACUGCACGCGUAUGUGGGAGUGCCAUGUUGAAGAGUGGAAAAUAUGGAAGAUCAGUCCCUACAAACUUAAUAGGAGAAUGACAUUCAGAUUUCCCGAGUAUUUUGCAUGUCCAACUGAAAACUGAAGUAGGUUUAUGAGAGAAUGCACGCCUACCUGGAUGGGUCUGGGGAGUGUGUCACUGUCACCGCAGAUAAUUGACAAGGGCUGAUCAAAUAGCGAUGCUUUCAAGUCUGUCUCCAAAGCCCCAGAAAAAUCUGAUGCAGGGGAGAGCCUUCUCAUGAGAAAGGGCCAGGACAGCACCUUCUUUCUCUUCUUAACUUCUACAGCCAAGAAAACAAGGCAACGAGAAAAAUUAGACUACAGUGUUAAGAAGCAAAGAUCCAGGUAAGAAAAUGGGUAUCGUUGGCCGCAUAAUGUGGUCAAUAGUAUGCGAUGUGAGAAAAAUAAUUUUGAAAACUUGAGAAAGCAAAGGGCGUGAAUCUUAAUCUAGAAAAACCAACCGAUAAACAACCACACUGUUACCAGGGCAACCAGUUCCCUAAACAGCAACACCAGAGUUCCUCAAGGCCUCCACCUUUCCUGUUUUCACUCUUUCCAGCUGUUUGCUACAGAAAAUUAGCAAAACCUAACUGUGCUGAUCAUAAACAACCAUCUUAACCUACUGGCCUGAAUAACUAUAGAGGAAAUUUCUGAUAUGAAAUAGAUUAUUUUGAUUUCCUCCUUUAACUGGCGAAGAAAACGAAACUUAAAAGGUGAGGAAGUGACUUGCUGAAUAUCUUUUCGAAGGCACAUAGCAGGGCUGGCUCCAACCCUUUGCAGCCACGCAGGCACUAAACAGCCACUAGAGGGAGCUAACACCAUUUUUCCUUCCAGGUGACUGGUCACCUUGGGUUUUCCAGGUUGCUGCUUUAGGACAGAGGCAAAUACGAAUCGCUGCGGGAAGCCUUGAACCUAGAUCUGGCAACUGGGAAUUAUCAGCAAAACGUUAUCAAGAUAUUCUGUCCUUCUGAAAUCCACAAGAUGUGUGUGCAAUGGAUAUUGCAAUCUCAAACAUUUCCUUCUUUCUUUUCUUUUCCUUCCUUCCUUCCUUCUCCUUUCUUACUAAUUAUAAAGGCUAUAUUUUCUAAAUGCAUUGGCAUCUGUUUCUAUACAUUUCAGAUUGGCAAGUGGAAGCAUGAUGAGAAAGAAGUGGCCUGUCUUUAUGGUUCAGGAGAACUGGGUCAGGGUUACGCUAUAAUGAAAUGCAUUAUGAAAAAAGUUGAGAGUGAAUGGUGGGUCCUUUGGGAUUUGAGAUCAGCAACAGUUGCUUCAUAGGCUCUUGGAUGCAUUCUCCAUAAGAGAAGGAAGAAAAUGGAAAAGACACUGUGUGUUUUUCAAAUGUGUGCAUGCUAAUUGUCGAAACAUACAUGGCCAGGAGAUUGAACCGCAUUAAAAACGCUUGGCAGAACUGGGGAUUCUCUAUGGAGAGGCUCUUUCCUUUCCCAGCACUCCCUGCUCUAGUGAGUUGGAGCAUACCUGCCAUUUAAGGGUUAAUGUUCUGCGGUCUUUAACAGAACAACUUAUACAAAAAAAUUCCUAGUAGAGUAAAAGCGCUGUGGUUUUGCAAACCAAGAGCACUGGUUGUUAGCACUUACAUAAAAGAUCGGUAUGUUUUUAAAACUCACCAAUGAGCUGGCAAAUACUGUCUUCACUCUCACAUGAUGCCAACAGGGGAUGUUCCUUGAUAUCACCCUAAAAACAUUUUUAUUUCAGUUAAAUAUAGUGACUGAAGAAACCUAUCGAGUCUUUCCCCACAAAACACACAUACAGCAUUUUAUUCAUAUUAAAAAUGAAGUCAGUAGAGUGCAUUGAUGUUUUUUCUAGCUUCUAGAAGCAAUAUUAAGGUCUUGAUUGUCAUCAUAUAAGAUCCUAAUUAAUGUGCUUAAUUUACUACAUGUGUGAUGUUAGUUUACUACUCUUAUAAUUACUAUUCAACCCAAAUAAUAUUCAAUUAAAACAAA
Homo sapiens (human) is the source of this 3343-nucleotide long non-coding RNA. Ensembl annotates it as TAGAP antisense RNA 1. Its record names the gene TAGAP-AS1. Lineage: Eukaryota; Metazoa; Chordata; Mammalia; Primates; Hominidae. The record is from Ensembl.